AUACAUGACAGUUUUCAGAGAGGAUUAAUUACCAUAGCAACAGAACACAAGGAAGAGCAGAGAUGUAGAAAACUACAGAGAUGGCGGAACACUCAGUUCCUACAGAGGAAGGCAGAGCUUCCAGUUAGAACUACAAAGAUGCCAUUUCUGAUACUACAGAAGCACUUAUUACAGACAAGAUGGCAGAAGAGCAAAGAAAGAAAACCUGUGUGAUGUAAUGUGUGCCAUAAGUAUCGAUCAAAUUACGAUAUGGUAACCCAGAAGAAUUUGGAGGAAGAGACUCCACAGCCGUUUUAAAUUCAAGAUGCAAAGCCACCUUGGAAUGGGAACCUCCAACAGAAAAACCAACUGAGGUUAAAGGAAUAUCAAGACCAAGUUUCCAGUUGUUGGACACAGAUGAUGUGGAGCUAUUGACGAGAGAUUCAACAGAAUCAUAGACCA
Molecule: long non-coding RNA, 441 nt
Organism: Gambusia affinis (western mosquitofish)
Lineage: Eukaryota; Metazoa; Chordata; Actinopteri; Cyprinodontiformes; Poeciliidae
Exons: 4
Source: RefSeq, a predicted model, not a curated record